CAUUCAGAGCACCUGACGCAGCAUGCCGCGUGGAUGAGAAGGCCUUCGGGUUGUAAAGUCCUUUCGUGGAGGACGAAAAGGUGGGUUCUAAUACAAUCUGCUAUUGACGUGAAUCCAAGAAGAAGCACCGGCUAACUCCGUGCCAGCAGCCGCGGUAAUACGGGGGGUGCAAGCGUUAAUCGGAAUCACUGGGCGUAAAGGGUGCGUAGGCGGUACGUUAGGUCUGUCGUGAAAUCCCCGGGCUCAACCUGGGAAUGGCGGUAGAAACCGGCGCACUAGAGUAUGGGAGAGGGUGGUGGAAUUCCAGGUGUAGCGGUGAAAUGCGUAGAUAUCUGGAGGAACAUCAGUGGCGAAGGCGGCCACCUGGCCCAAUACUGACGCUGAGGCACGAAAGCGUGGGGAGCAAACAGGAUUAGAUACCCUGGUAGUCCACGCCCUAAACGAUGAAUACUAGAUGUUUGGUGCCUAGCGUACUGAGUGUCGUAGCUAACGCGAUAAGUAUUCCGCCUGGGAAGUACGGCCGCAAGGUUAAAACUCAAAUGAAUUGACGGA
This 552-nucleotide ribosomal RNA is filed under the name uncultured bacterium. RNAcentral's name for it is "bacterial SSU rRNA". It matches the Rfam family "Bacterial small subunit ribosomal RNA", at positions 369 to 917 of the family's 1533-position model. The record is from RNAcentral.